GAUGAACGCUGGCGGCGUGCCUAAUACAUGCAAGUCGAGCGAACAGACGAGGAGCUUGCUCCUCUGACGUUAGCGGCGGACGGGUGAGUAACACGUGGAUAACCUACCUAUAAGACUGGGAUAACUUCGGGAAACCGGAGCUAAUACCGGAUAAUAUAUUGAACCGCAUGGUUCAAUAGUGAAAGACGGUUUUGCUGUCACUUAUAGAUGGAUCCGCGCCGCAUUAGCGAGUUGGUAAGGUAACGGCUUACCAAGGCAACGAUGCGGAGCCGACCUGAGAGGGUGAUCGGCCACACUGGAACUGAGACACGGUCCCGACUCCUACGGGAGGCAGCAGUAGGGAAUCUUCCGCAAUGGGCGAAAGCUUGACGGAGCAACGCCGCGUGAGUGAUGAAGGUCUUCGGAUCGUAAAACUCUGUUAUUAGGGAAGAACAAAUGUGUAAGUAACUAUGCACGUCUUGACGGUACCUAAUCAGAAAGCCACGGCUAACUACGUG
Molecule: ribosomal RNA, 497 nt
Filed under: uncultured bacterium
Lineage: Bacteria
Description: partial 16S ribosomal RNA
Rfam family: Bacterial small subunit ribosomal RNA
Source: RNAcentral